This 253-nucleotide ribosomal RNA is filed under the name uncultured bacterium. RNAcentral describes it as "partial 16S ribosomal RNA". It matches the Rfam family "Bacterial small subunit ribosomal RNA", at positions 524 to 776 of the family's 1533-position model. The record is from RNAcentral.
UACGUAGGGUGCAAGCGUUGUCCGGAAUUAUUGGGCGUAAAGAGCUCGUAGGCGGUCUGUCGCGUCGGCUGUGAAAACCCGGGGCUCAACCCCGGGCCUGCAGUCGAUACGGGCAGACUCGAGUGCGGUAGGGGAGACUGGAAUUCCUGGUGUAGCGGUGAAAUGCGCAGAUAUCAGGAGGAACACCGGUGGCGAAGGCGGGUCUCUGGGCCGUAACUGACGCUGAGGAGCGAAAGCGUGGGGAGCGAACAGG